AGUGAUAUUAUCAAAGUAUUGU
Molecule: microRNA, 22 nt
Filed under: Hyalella azteca
Lineage: Eukaryota; Metazoa; Arthropoda; Malacostraca; Amphipoda; Hyalellidae
Description: miR-684
Source: RNAcentral